CUACCAUGCAAGUCGAACGAUGAAGCCCAGCUUGCUGGGUGGAUUAGUGGCGAACGGGUGAGUAACACGUGAGCAACCUGCCCCUGACUCUGGGAUAAGCGCUGGAAACGGCGUCUAAUACUGGAUAUGUCCCGUCACCGCAUGGUGUGCGGGUGGAAAGAUUUUUCGGUUGGGGAUGGGCUCGCGGCCUAUCAGCUUGUUGGUGAGGUAAUGGCUCACCAAGGCGUCGACGGGUAGCCGGCCUGAGAGGGUGACCGGCCACACUGGGACUGAGACACGGCCCAGACUCCUACGGGAGGCAGCAGUGGGGAAUAUUGCACAAUGGGCGGAAGCCUGAUGCAGCAACGCCGCGUGAGGGAUGACGGCCUUCGGGUUGUAAACCUCUUUUAGCAGGGAAGAAGCGAGAGUGACGGUACCUGCAGAAAAAGCACCGGCUAACUACGUGCCAGCAGCCGCGGUAAUACGUAGGGUGCAAGCGUUAUCCGGAAUUAUUGGGCGUAAAGAGCUCGUAGGCGGUCUGUCGCGUCUGCUGUGAAAUCCCGAGGCUCAACCUCGGGCUUGCAGUGGGUACGGGCAGACUAGAGUGCGGUAGGGGAGAUUGGAAUUCCUGGUGUAGCGGUGGAAUGCGCAGAUAUCAGGAGGAACACCGAUGGCGAAGGCAGAUCUCUGGGCCGUAACUGACGCUGAGGAGCGAAAGGGUGGGGAGCAAACAGGCUUAGAUACCCUGGUAGUCCACCCCGUAAACGUUGGGAACUAGUUGUGGGGUCCUUUCCACGGAUUCCGUGACGCAGCUAACGCAUUAAGUUCCCCGCCUGGGGAGUACGGCCGCAAGGCUAAAACUC
This 842-nucleotide ribosomal RNA is filed under the name Microbacterium sp. EC43. Its description in RNAcentral is "bacterial SSU rRNA". It matches the Rfam family "Bacterial small subunit ribosomal RNA", at positions 49 to 902 of the family's 1533-position model. The record is from RNAcentral. RNAcentral also lists the same sequence under 1 other name. Lineage: Bacteria; Bacillati; Actinomycetota; Actinomycetes; Micrococcales; Microbacteriaceae.